UUAUGGCUCAGGAUGAACGCGUAGACGGCAGGCGUUAACACGAUGCAAGUCGAGGGGCAUCGGAGUAGCAAUACUGCCGGCGACCGGCGCAAGGGUGCGUAACGCGUGAGCAACAUGCCCGUAUCAGGGGGAUAAUCCAUGGAAACGUGGUCUAAUACCCCAUAGUAAUUAUGUAAGGCAUCUUAUAUAAUUUAAAGCUUUGGUGGAUACGGAUUGGCUCGCGUGACAUUAGCUGGAUGGUAAGGUAACGGCUUACCAUGGCUACGAUGUCUAGGGGUUCUGAGAGGAAGGUCCCCCCACACUGGAACUGAGACACGGUCCAGACUCCUACGGGAGGCAGCAGUGAGGAAUAUUGGACAAUGGAUGGAAAUCUGAUCCAGCCAUGCCGCGUGCAAGGAAGACGGCCCUAUGGGUUGUAAACUGCUUUUGUAUGGGAGCAAUAAGGGCUACGUGUAGUCCGAUGAGAGUACCAUACGAAUAAGCACCGGCUAACUCCGUGCCAGCCGCCGC
Molecule: ribosomal RNA, 510 nt
Filed under: uncultured bacterium
Lineage: Bacteria
Description: bacterial SSU rRNA
Rfam family: Bacterial small subunit ribosomal RNA
Source: RNAcentral